GAGUGUCAAUCAAAAGUCUCUCUCCAAAUCGUCCGGCACAUUUAGGCAGAUCUAUUUAUUUUUUGAUUAAUAUUUUUCAACAAUGCAAAUGCAUGUGCAUUGCUAAACGACCGACAAAAGAGUGUAUUUAGUGACUAGAAAUAUAAAGAAGCACAAAAUGCAAUUAGGCUCCAAGCUUCAUGUGUACAAGGGCGAGUGGGGACUGCCGUCCAUUGAUUUCGAAUGUAUGCGUGCCUUGUGUCUGCUGCGCUUCACCCGCUGCCCCAUGGACAUUGAAACAAACACAAACCCAUUGCGUUCGGGCGCUGGAAAAUUGCCCUAUCUACAGAUUGGCAAUGAUAAAUUUCUUGGAUAUAAGGAAAUUAAACGCGUGCUGGAUCUAGAGGGUUAUCCGGUCGAUGCGCACUUAAAUAUAAAACAAAAGCACUUGUCCACCACAUACUCGAACUGGGUAUUCACACAACUGCAUGCCUACUACCAUUACUUCCUGUACGGUGAACCCCACAACUAUGAUACAACCACACGUGGCUUGUACGCAAAGCGCACACCAUUCCCAUUUAAUUUCUACUAUCCUUCAACUUACCAGCGCGAAGCCACCGAUGUAGUCCAGGUGCUGGGUGGUUUCGACAUUAACGAUAAGCUGGAGAAGCAUGAGGCCGAAUAUCUGACAGCUAAUGCCAAAAAGUGUGUUAACUUACUUUCUCGUAAAUUGGGACGCAAGGUUUGGUUCUUUGGUGACACCUACAGCGAAUUGGACGCCAUUGUCUACAGUUAUUUGGCGAUUAUUUACAAAAUAACACUGCCCAAUAAUCCGCUACAGAAUCACAUAAAAGGCUGUCAAAAUCUAGUCAAUUUCAUUAAUCGCAUCACCAAGGAUAUAUUCCGCAAUGAAUGUUAUAGUUCCACCAAACUAACCAAAGCCUCCAGCCACACAGACAAUACGAUGACCCCGUCGGAGCGCAAAUUCUUGGAGACGGAGCUAAAUACAAAGAUUGUCGCUGGCGUUGGCGCUGUGCUGGCGAUGGGCGCAUUUGCAGCUUGGCGUGGCAUUUAUACCCAGCUCAAGAUUAAAUAUUUUGCUUGACUGCAAAGCGAAUGCUGUAAUCGAAAAAUAAAUAGAUCAAAUUUAAAUUUAGGUGCAAACAAAUUUUAAGUUAACACGCUCGUCAACGGAUUAUGACGGCAUCGACUAUGAGGACGAUGAGUUGGAGGAGGUCUUGGAUUAGCUUCAGCUCUGUACAUUUAUAAUUUUAACCAACGAUGUAUAUUUAUAAAUAUUUCGAAAAUGAGCGAAUCGGAAGGCACAGCAGAAAUUUGUCUUUAAGCAAUUCGUUAAAAAAGCACGCAUAUAUAUUUAUGUAUAUACGAUUUGAAGCUAUAUAAAUUAAUAAUGCGCCCUCCACCAUUAUUCAUUGUUUUUUAAAACUAUUUACCCUAUAUGAAAUUGUAUGUUUAAAGGAAAAAUAAGCAGCAACCAAAGCGUAAUAAAACGUACAACUGACGCUGCUAACGUUAAUUGUAACUAGAUUGAA
This is an RNA transcript of Drosophila virilis, 1532 nucleotides long. It is a transcript of the gene named metaxin-1 homolog, with no coding region annotated. The record is from RefSeq and is a predicted model, not a curated record. Lineage: Eukaryota; Metazoa; Arthropoda; Insecta; Diptera; Drosophilidae.